GACGAACGCUGGCGGCGUGCUUAACACAUGCAAGUCGAACGGAAAGGCCCUGCUUUUGUGGGGUGCUCGAGUGGCGAACGGGUGAGUAACACGUGAGUAACCUGCCCUUGACUUUGGGAUAACUUCAGGAAACUGGGGCUAAUACCGGAUAGGAGCUCCUGCUGCAUGGUGGGGGUUGGAAAGUUUCGGCGGUUGGGGAUGGACUCGCGGCUUAUCAGCUUGUUGGUGGGGUAGUGGCUUACCAAGGCUUUGACGGGUAGCCGGCCUGAGAGGGUGACCGGCCACAUUGGGACUGAGAUACGGCCCAGACUCCUACGGGGGGCAGCAGUGGGGAAUAUUGCAAAAUGGGCGGAAGCCUGAUGCAGCAACGCCGCGUGCGGGAUGACGGCCUUCGGGUUGUAAACCGCUUUCGCCUGUGACGAAGCGUGAGUGACGGUAAUGGGUAAAGAAGCACCGGCUAACUACGUG
Molecule: ribosomal RNA, 468 nt
Filed under: uncultured bacterium
Lineage: Bacteria
Description: partial 16S ribosomal RNA
Rfam family: Bacterial small subunit ribosomal RNA
Source: RNAcentral